This 481-nucleotide ribosomal RNA is filed under the name uncultured bacterium. Its description in RNAcentral is "bacterial SSU rRNA". It matches the Rfam family "Bacterial small subunit ribosomal RNA", at positions 26 to 507 of the family's 1533-position model. The record is from RNAcentral.
AGGACGAACGCUGGCGGCGUGCUUAACACAUGCAAGUCGAACGGAGCACCCGAAGAUGAAGCUUUUGCAGAAUCUUUGGAAUGCUUAGUGGCGGACGGGUGAGUAACGCGUGGGUAACCUGCCUCAUACAGGGGGAUAACAGUUAGAAAUGACUGCUAAUACCGCAUAAGCGCACAAUACCGCAUGGUAUAGUGUGAAAAACUCCGGUGGUAUGAGAUGGACCCGCGUCUGAUUAGCUAGUUGGUGGGGUAACGGCCUACCAAGGCGACGAUCAGUAGCCGACCUGAGAGGGUGACCGGCCACAUUGGGACUGAGACACGGCCCAAACUCCUACGGGAGGCAGCAGUGGGGAAUAUUGCACAAUGGGCGAAAGCCUGAUGCAGCGACGCCGCGUGAGCGAAGAAGUAUUUCGGUAUGUAAAGCUCUAUCAGCAGGGAAGAAAAUGACGGUACCUGACUAAGAAGCACCGGCUAAAUACGUG